Long non-coding RNA from Mustela erminea (ermine), 888 nucleotides. RefSeq lists it as uncharacterized. Lineage: Eukaryota; Metazoa; Chordata; Mammalia; Carnivora; Mustelidae. The transcript has 3 exons. The record is from RefSeq and is a predicted model, not a curated record.
UCCAUUUCUAUCAGUUUCUUGACCGAAUGCUGAACAAAUUACGAUAUAAAAUGAUAAGGAAGCCAAGACACAGCUUUCGGAAAAGCUGAAAGCCCCUUUGAUGUUGGAAGCACAUCCUGUCAUGUAGAGUAUACUGAACGAGAUGAUGGCUGAAGACGACUUUACGGACAGGAUAAUUGGUGCAGCAGACAGAUGGAAGGAGGAAGGGGGCCUGGCACUGUACCUACAAGUGCAAGAGCACCUUCUUGAUGAAGCUGCUGUUCUGCACUCUAGAAUCCCUCAUUCCAUUCGCUCAAUCUAAGCAAAUGUCAUCUGGGGCUAUAGGCAUUCAGACAACUGUCCUAUUUGGAGGAUACUAGUUAUAGAGGAAGGAGAGCACGGCUGUCUCGAGUGUCGGUAACAGUGGAAAUGGAGAGAAGCAGAUGACUCUGAGGGCCAUUUAAAGCAGUAGACUACACUAAGGUGCUUGGUCCUUCCGGGGAAGCUGAGGCCACGCUGGGGUGAGACCCUCACUUCAUCUGGUGACUACCCUGUGCCCAGCCACACCCGCUUAGCACUUGCCCACCCUUCUCGGAGCUCGCCUGCAUCUAUGUGGCCCUGAGCCUACUCCACGAGGAGGUGAUAGUCACGGAAGAUAAGAUCAAUGCCCUCAUUAAAGCAGCGGGUGUAAGUGUUGAACUUUUCGGGCUUGUUUGCAAAGGCCACGGUCAGUGUCAACAUCAGCAAUGUAGGGGCUGGUGGAUCUGCCCUAGCAGCCUGGCCAGCCCAGCUAAGAAGUAGGUGGGAACAAAGAAGAAUCAGAGGAGUCUGAUGAAGACAUGGGUUUUGGUCUUUCCGGCUAAACCUCUUCUGUAACCUGUUCAAUAAAAAGCUGAACUCUUAAAAAAA